This 793-nucleotide ribosomal RNA is filed under the name uncultured archaeon. Its description in RNAcentral is "bacterial SSU rRNA". It matches the Rfam family "Archaeal small subunit ribosomal RNA", at positions 85 to 879 of the family's 1478-position model. The record is from RNAcentral.
ACGGCUCAGUAACACGUGGAUAACCUACCCAAGAGUCCGGGAUAACCCCGGGAAACUGGGGAUAAUACCGGAUAGAUCAAACAGGCUGGAAGGCGGUUUGGUUGAAACUUCCGGGGCUUUUGGAUGGGUCUGCGGCUGAUUAGGUUGUUGCCGGUGUAAUGUACCGUCAAGCCUGUAAUCAGUACGGGUUGUGGGAGCAAGAGCCCGGAGAUGGAUUCUGAGACACGAAUCCAGGCCCUACGGGGCGCAGCAGGCGCGAAAACUCUACAAUGCAGGCAACUGCGAUAGGGGAACAUCGAGUGAUCCUCAUAUUGGGGGUCUGUCCACCCGCCUAAAAAGCGGGUGUUAGCAAGGGCCGGGCAAGACCGGUGCCAGCCGCCGCGGUAAUACCGGCGGCUCGAGUGGUGGCCGAUAUUAUUGAGUCUAAAGGGUCCGUAGCCGGCUUUGCAAGUCUCUCGGGAAAUCCAGCGGCUUAACCGUUGGUCGUCCGGGGGGUACUACAUUGCUUGGGACUGGGAGAGGUAGGAGGUACUCAGGGGGUAGGAGUGAAAUCCUGUAAUCCUUUGGGGACCACCGGUGGCGAAGGCGUCCUACCAGAACAGGUCCGACGGUGAGGGACGAAAGCUAGGGGCACGAACCGGAUUAGAUACCCGGGUAGUCCUAGCCGUAAACGAUGCUCGCUAGGUGUCACAACAGUCGUGAACUGUUGUGGUGCCGUAGGGAAGCCGUGAAGCGAGCCACUUGGGAAGUACGACCGCAAGGUUGAAACUUAAAGGAAUUGGCGGGGGAGCAC